Molecule: transfer RNA, 98 nt
Filed under: Streptomyces echinoruber
Lineage: Bacteria; Bacillati; Actinomycetota; Actinomycetes; Kitasatosporales; Streptomycetaceae
Description: tRNA-Pro
Source: RNAcentral
UGCGCUGGGGGCCCACCGGCGAGCCCGGGGACGGCUGGGAGCCGUUCACCGGCUGAACGACGGGCGGGAACAGCCGUGAUCGUUCCCGCCCGCGCAGC